This 387-nucleotide ribosomal RNA is filed under the name uncultured bacterium. Its description in RNAcentral is "bacterial SSU rRNA". It matches the Rfam family "Bacterial small subunit ribosomal RNA", at positions 28 to 416 of the family's 1533-position model. The record is from RNAcentral.
GACGAACGCUGGCGGCGUGCUUAACACAUGCAAGUCGAGCGGUAAGGCCCUUUCGGGGGUACACGAGCGGCGAACGGGUGAGUAACACGUGGGUGACCUGCCCUCAGCUCUGGGAUAAGCCUGGGAAACCGGGUCUAAUACUGGAUAUGACUCCAUGACGCAUGUUGUGGGGUGGAAAGCCUUGUGCGGCUGAGGAUGGGCCCGCGGCCUAUCAGCUUGUUGGGGGGUGAUGGCCUACCAAGGCGACGACGGGUAGCCGGCCUGAGAGGGCGACCGGGCCACACUGGGACUGAGACACGGCCCAGACUCCUACGGGAGGCAGCAGUGGGGAAUCUUGCGCAAUGGGCGAAAGCCUGACGCAGCGACGCCGCGUGAGGGAUGACGGCU